ACCCUCAUUCCUGCUCGACAAGACUCUUGACUGAACAAGAAUUUCACAUCAACAAUGRACCUGACUUUUUUUUUUGCUUCGUCAACUGGCUGUCUUGGUAGACAUUGCUAAGACAUAUCAAUAGUUUGUUUUUACUUCGACUCCCAUGUACAAAGCUGUCAAAGAAAGAGCACGUCGUUUCUUCAGCGAACACAGAUUGGUGGCAUUAAUUCCCAAAUGAUAUCCUAAAAAUAACAAUCUCAAACAAAAUUAAGAUCACACUCGACUGCCUUGUCAUUUUUGAUGUUACCUAUACCUUGACAUGCAAUCGUAUUUUUUUUCUAUUGGUAUCGCAGGCGGUGUAGUGGCUAUGAUAAUCAUAAUUUACAUGGC
Exaiptasia diaphana is the source of this 372-nucleotide long non-coding RNA. RefSeq lists it as uncharacterized. Lineage: Eukaryota; Metazoa; Cnidaria; Anthozoa; Actiniaria; Aiptasiidae. The record is from RefSeq and is a predicted model, not a curated record. The transcript has 3 exons.